AUUGAACGCUGGCGGUAUGCUUAACACAUGCAAGUCGAACGGUAACAGGCCUUCGGGCGCUGACGAGUGGCGGACGGUGAGUAACGCGUAGGAAUCUGCCUCAUAGUGGGGACAACGUGGGGAAACUCACGCUAAUACCGCAUACGCCCUACGGGGAAAGCGGGGAUCCUCGGACCUCGCGCUAUGAGAUGAGCCUGCGUUAGAUUAGCUAGUUGGUAGGGUAAAGGCCUACCAAGGCGACGAUCUAUAGCUGGUCUGAGAGGACGAUCAGCCACACUGGGACUGAGACACGGCCCAGACUCCUACGGGAGGCAGCAGUGGGGAAUAUUGGACAAUGGGCGCAAGCCUGAUCCAGCAAUACCGCGUGUGUGAAGAAGGCCUUAGGGUUGUAAAGCACUUUCAAUUGGGAGGAAAACCUGCCGGUCAAUACCCGGUAGCUUGACAUUACCUUAGAAGAAGCACCGGCUAACUCCGUGCCAGCAGCCGCGGUAA
Molecule: ribosomal RNA, 492 nt
Filed under: uncultured bacterium
Lineage: Bacteria
Description: bacterial SSU rRNA
Rfam family: Bacterial small subunit ribosomal RNA
Source: RNAcentral